AUGUCGCCACCGACGAAGAAAGAGAGGGCGGCAGAGGCCAGGGCGAGCUCGUCAAAACCGAUCGUCUCGGCGGCUCCCCAGGUUCAGCGGCGGAGGGUGGGUGGAGGCGGGUGGACGAGCUGCCGGAUAUCCUUCUACGCCUCCCGCGUCUACUUCCUGCUCAUCAUCCUCCAGAUCCCGCUCUUCAGGGUCCCUUGUAGAGCAGGCACAUGCACUACACCUAUUCAAAUUACAUCUUCACAGUUGGUCUCAAAUGAGAUAUUCCCACCAUCUGUUGUGAAGGCCAUGCUCUACCCUGGAGCUAUAGUGCGCAACCUCACUACAAGAAUGAGCAUGACAUUUCCAAGGUGGAGUGACCUGUUCGACAUAUACAAUCUGACAGAAGCUAAGAAUGCUUCAGCAGUAAUUGAUCUACAGCGUCUAGAGAUGCUUGCCGGAAGCUACUUCUGUGUUGCUGGAGCACUCGUUGGCAUCAUUAACCCUGGGAGGAUGAUCUUGUUUGGUACGCUUUUGGUUAUCUGGGGUCUCGUGAAAGAUGCGCUCUUCCGGAAGCCUGUGAUUAAUGAUCCAACAGAACCAGUAUAUGUCUAUCCUACCAUUUUGAUUGCACUGAUUUGUUCAUUCAUGUCAAUAACUUACAAUGUGAAGAAGGCGAUGAGCAGCCAGUCUGUUUCUAUCUCUAAGCCACUGCAAAGUUCUGCCAAGUCAAAACUGAAGUAG
RNAcentral lists this ribosomal RNA (720 nucleotides) under Triticum aestivum (bread wheat). Its description in RNAcentral is "partial small subunit ribosomal RNA". The record is from RNAcentral. Lineage: Eukaryota; Viridiplantae; Streptophyta; Magnoliopsida; Poales; Poaceae.